RNAcentral lists this ribosomal RNA (823 nucleotides) under Francisella tularensis subsp. holarctica. RNAcentral's name for it is "bacterial SSU rRNA". It matches the Rfam family "Bacterial small subunit ribosomal RNA", at positions 1 to 822 of the family's 1533-position model. The record is from RNAcentral. Lineage: Bacteria; Pseudomonadati; Pseudomonadota; Gammaproteobacteria; Thiotrichales; Francisellaceae.
AUUAAACUGAAGAGUUUGAUCCUGGCUCAGAUUGAACGCUGGUGGCAUGCUUAACACAUGCAAGUCGAACGGUAACAGGUCUUAGGAUGCUGACGAGUGGCGGACGGGUGAGUAACGCGUAGGAAUCUGCCCAUUUGAGGGGGAUACCAGUUGGAAACGACUGUUAAUACCGCAUAAUAUCUGUGGAUUAAAGGUGGCUUUCGGGCUGUCGCAGAUGGAUGAGCCUGCGUUGGAUUAGCUAGUUGGUGGGGUAAGGGCCCACCAAGGCUACGAUCCAUAGCUGAUUUGAGAGGAUGAUCAGCCACAUUGGGACUGAGACACGGCCCAAACUCCUACGGGAGGCAGCAGUGGGGAAUAUUGGACAAUGGGGGCAACCCUGAUCCAGCAAUGCCAUGUGUGUGAAGAAGGCCCUAGGGUUGUAAAGCACUUUAGUUGGGGAGGAAAGCCUCAAGGUUAAUAGCCUUGGGGGAGGACGUUACCCAAAGAAUAAGCACCGGCUAACUCCGUGCCAGCAGCCGCGGUAAUACGGGGGGUGCAAGCGUUAAUCGGAAUUACUGGGCGUAAAGGGUCUGUAGGUGGUUUGUUAAGUCAGAUGUGAAAGCCCAGGGCUCAACCUUGGAACUGCAUUUGAUACUGGCAAACUAGAGUACGGUAGAGGAAUGGGGAAUUUCUGGUGUAGCGGUGAAAUGCGUAGAGAUCAGAAGGAACACCAAUGGCGAAGGCAACAUUCUGGACCGAUACUGACACUGAGGGACGAAAGCGUGGGGAUCAAACAGGAUUAGAUACCCUGGUAGUCCACGCUGUAAACGAUGAGUACUAGCUG